UUUGAUUAGAAAACUAGGUUAGAACUUAAUCUAAUGAUUAGAAUUGAUUCAACUAAUCUAAGGAAUCAUGUUAAUAUGUCGUUCAAACUUGAUUAAAAUACUAUGUCAAGUUCUAGCCUAAGGGAACAUGCAUGGGUUAAAAAAACUGAGGUGCUAAUGUUCUAGCCAUAGCCCUAAGUUAUAGCACUUACCAUCAACCUUCGCGUUUGACUACGGGGGAUAAUGUUCAACCUUGCUUGGUGCUCUACAGUAUCUCCUUCAACGUCGUUGCGGACUCGAAGAGUUAUCAUAUUCCGUUAUUUGUCUUGUUCCGAAGUUCAACUCGCCUUGUAAUCAUGUGCGCCAAUUAGAAAGAAACGGUGUCGAAAAUGAAACUGUAGAAUGUACCAGACCGCGCAAGUAUCACCGUUAGAGUUUCGAUUGAUUCUCCUUCCUCUCUGGUUCGCUUACAAUUUGAUGAGAAAUGUUUCGUUAUUGAAGACGAUUGUUUCAGAUUCGUUGCGUGUGAAAUGCUUCUGUUCCAAAUCCAAUUUCUGCAGAAUCGUGGAAGGUCCUAGAAGAUGGUUUCUUGAAGUUUCUGUUAAGGAAGAUUGAGAGGGAUGAGGCUUUUGACGGUGAAUAAAGUUAGUGAAGAAGAUUGGUUACCAUCUCCAUGUGAUUAUCAGAGGAGGGUUAUAUGAAAAAUUCCCAGUUGGAAGCCAUGGAGAGGAGAGUUAGAAGAGGGUUCAUGAAGAAGAAGUGAAGAGUUUCGAAAAUCCUCUCUGCAGAAUGAAGGUUGAUUUAUUAUAUAGAGCAUGGGAAUCGUAACCGACUCGGGCAGUGCGGGCAAUUCCGUUAGGGCAGGUAACAUAGUUAGUUUAAAUUCACAUUGAAAUGAAAUUGAGAUAUAAUAGUUAGUUAGGUUCAAACUGCUAGUUAAAUUUUGUUAAAUUAUGUUGAAAGACUCUUGUUGAAAUCCCUCUUCAAGUUGUUAUAUGUUAAGUUCUGUUUAAAAAUUCAAUUUGAGUUGGUUGAAUUUGAAAUGAAUUAUCUCAAUAGGAAGUGAAUGAAACUCGAGUGGCAGUGUUAGUUAAGAUAUUAGUUAGUUUCCGAUUAGGUGAUGUGAUGCGAUUUUGAGCUUAACUUCUGUUAAAUGCAAUGUUAUGACGUUUAAUAAUUAAUUCUGUUAGAACUUUUAAUGCAGGGUGGAUACUGGUACUGUUAUCAAAUCUGGAAGUAUUUUGUUAUUUAUUCAGUUUUCUAUUAGUAGUUUGUUAGGAGUUGUUACAGGUUUUGAUUUAGUCACAUGAGAUUCAAUGGAAUUGAAAAGUUAAGUGUAAAUCAAAUUGAAUGCCUAUGGUUAAUUGGUUAAUAUGGAGAAAAAGCUAGAGAUGAUUGUUUGAUUAGCUUGGUUGGUUUGAUGUGAGGUUAAUUGAUGCAUUGCUAUUGGAGUGGUUCUUUUUGCAGGGACAAUGGUAACUUGAUACGUUUCAGGGCAGUUUGUACUGUUGUCAUGCUCAUCUGGACCGACUCAAUGCAGAGAGGGCUUCAUGGUUUUAAUGCUGCUGUGUAAGCUUAGUGCUUGCAUAAGUCAUGUUCAUGUGUGGGAUCUGUUUUGCAUUGGCUGCAAUGGUUUAGAUUCACAGUCAUGUAAAUGUGCUAAGGCUAUGUUGUGAGGUUUGUUAUAGGUGAUGUAAAUUAUUUGGAUAGCCAUGCCAGGUUAUGUCAUGUUGGAAAAUGAACAUGUAGUGUGGUGUAAUGGUUGAAUUGUAUUUGUUUUAAUGGGAAUGUAUAGAAGUGAAAUAGAGUUUGAAAGUGAGAAUGGUGAGUAUUGUUUGGAUUGAACUUUAUAUGACUUAUGUGGUUGAAAAUGUUUAUGUAAUGCAUUGUAACAUUGGAAAUUGGUUUAUGUAUAAACAUGGCUUAUGUAUUUCUUUGGUUGGUAGCUUAUUUGCUUGUUUGAAUGAAUUUACUAGGUGUUGAUGUUAAGGCAAGGUUUGGCAAGCGAGCAUGAUUUUAAGGCAUAACAAACAAGGCUUGGUGCGAAAUGCGGUUUCCUUGUGUAUGAAAAACUUGGUCGUGGAGGUCAAGUGAAAAGAUUGGAAGUGACAUGGACUUGAUUGGUAGAAAUGAUUAAUUGGAAUUUUGUGUUGUAAUGUGAUGGAUUGUAAAUGAAAUAUUUGAACUUGGUUCAUGUAGUUAUACUCGAAUGAAUAAGAAGUGCAAUUUUGUUGUAAUUGAAUGUAAUUUUGGAAUUUGAAUGGAUCAUGAAUUUGAAUGUGUAAGUGAAA
Long non-coding RNA from Lathyrus oleraceus (garden pea), 2270 nucleotides. RefSeq lists it as uncharacterized. The record is from RefSeq and is a predicted model, not a curated record. Lineage: Eukaryota; Viridiplantae; Streptophyta; Magnoliopsida; Fabales; Fabaceae. The transcript has 2 exons.